RNAcentral lists this non-coding RNA (775 nucleotides) under Athyma nefte (colour sergeant). Lineage: Eukaryota; Metazoa; Arthropoda; Insecta; Lepidoptera; Nymphalidae. The record is from RNAcentral.
AAUAAAUUUUUUAUAUUUUUUAUAAUUUAUUAUAAAUUUAUUUUACAUGUAAAUUUUAGUAUAAAAUUUUAAUUAUUUUAAAAAUAAUUAAUUUAAUAUUAACAGUAAUUAAAAUUAAAAAUUUAAGAAAUUAAGAUUUAGUAAUAUUUAAAUUAAUAACUAAUUUUGUGCCAGCAGUUGCGGUUAAACAAAAGUUAAAUUAAAUUAUUUCAGUUUAUAAUAAAUAAAUAAAUAUUAAAUUAAAUAUUGAAUUAUUAAGUGAAAUUUUAAUUUAAUUAAAAUUUAUUUUUAAUUUAUGAUUUAAUAAAUUUUAUUUUAAACUAGGAUUAGAUACCCUAUUAUUAAAAAUUUAAUUAAAAAUACUAAAAUAGUAAAUAAAAUAUUAUUGAAACUUAAAUAAUAUGGCGGUAUUUUAGUUCAUUUAGAGGAAUCUGUCUAAUAAUUGAUAAUCCACGAAUAAAUUUACUUAAUUUAUAAUUUUGUAUAUCAUUGUUAAAAAAAUAUUUUUAAAUAAAAAUAAUAUUUUAAAAUUUAGAAUAAAAUUUAAUUCAGAUCAAGAUGCAGAUUAUAAUUAAGUUUAAGAUGGAUUACAAUAAAUUUAUUUAAAUGGAAAAAAUUUUGUAAGAUUUGAUUGAAGGUGGAUUUAAAUGUAAUUUUAAUUAAUUUAUUAAAAUGAUUUAAAAUUAAAAUAUGUACAUAUUGCCCGUCACUUUCAUUUAAAAAUUGAAAUAAGUCGUAACAAAGUAGAGGUACUGGAAAGUGUUUCUAGAAUGAA